Pelobates cultripes (western spadefoot toad) is the source of this 314-nucleotide non-coding RNA. The record is from the annotation of a GenBank genome assembly. Lineage: Eukaryota; Metazoa; Chordata; Amphibia; Anura; Pelobatidae.
AUGACAGAUCUCGAAAUCUCUGUUCAAACCCUUAGGAGACAGCGACUUCAAUUUAAACACCCACCUCAUCUCUUGCUUCGCCAGUUUGUUGUCCAAAUGUUCACCUCUCCAGUUCCUGCUCACUCUUUCAAUUCCAAUAAACUGCAGUUUUGUAACAUCCCCCUGGUGUUUGUAUAUGAAGUGUGAGGAUAAGGGAUGCUCUUUGAAACCCCGUUUAAUGUUUCGUACAUGUUCCUCAAUGCAAAUAUGCACUUAUCUGGUGGUUUUCCCUACAUAGUGCAUAUUCCAUGGACAUGUAAGGACAUAGAUGCAAU